Molecule: ribosomal RNA, 621 nt
Filed under: Kitasatospora purpeofusca
Lineage: Bacteria; Bacillati; Actinomycetota; Actinomycetes; Kitasatosporales; Streptomycetaceae
Description: bacterial SSU rRNA
Rfam family: Bacterial small subunit ribosomal RNA
Source: RNAcentral
AAGCCCUUCGGGGUGGAUCAGUGGCGAACGGGUGAGUAACACGUGGGCAAUCUGCCCUGCACUCUGGGACAAGCCCUGGAAACGGGGUCUAAUACCGGAUAUGACCUGGGAGUGCAUGCUCCCGGGUGUAAAGCUCCGGCGGUGCAGGAUGAGCCCGCGGCCUAUCAGCUUGUUGGUGGGGUAAUGGCCCACCAAGGCGACGACGGGUAGCCGGCCUGAGAGGGCGACCGGCCACACUGGGACUGAGACACGGCCCAGACUCCUACGGGAGGCAGCAGUGGGGAAUAUUGCACAAUGGGCGAAAGCCUGAUGCAGCGACGCCGCGUGAGGGAUGACGGCCUUCGGGUUGUAAACCUCUUUCAGCAGGGAAGAAGCGCAAGUGACGGUACCUGCAGAAGAAGCACCGGCUAACUACGUGCCAGCAGCCGCGGUAAUACGUAGGGUGCGAGCGUUGUCCGGAAUUAUUGGGCGUAAAGAGCUCGUAGGCGGCCUGUCGCGUCGGAUGUGAAAGCCCGGGGCUUAACCCCGGGUCUGCAUUCGAUACGGGCAGGCUAGAGUGUGGUAGGGGAGAUCGGAAUUCCUGGUGUAGCGGUGAAAUGCGCAGAUAUCAGGAGGAACACC